GAUGAACGCUGGCGGCGUGCCUAAUACAUGCAAGUCGAGCGAACAGACGAGGAGCUUGCUCCUCUGACGUUAGCGGCGGACGGGUGAGUAACACGUGGAUAACCUACCUAUAAGACUGGGAUAACUUCGGGAAACCGGCGCUAAUACCGGAUAAUAUAUUGAACCGCAUGGUUCAAUAGUGAAAGACGGUUUUGCUGUCACUUAUAGAUGGAUCCGCGCCGCAUUAGCUAGUUGGUAAGGUAACGGCUUACCAAGGCAACGAUGCGUAGCCGACCUGAGAGGGUGAUCGGCCACACUGGAGCUGAGACACGGUCCAGACUCCUACGGGAGGCAGCAGUAGGGAAUCUUCCGCAAUGGGCGAAAGCCUGACGGAGCAACGCCGCGUGAGUGAUGAAGGUCUUCGGAUCGUAAAACUCUGUUAUUAGGGAAGAACAAAUGUGUAAGUAACUAUGCACGUCUUGACGGUACCUAAUCAGAAAGCCACGGCUAACUACGUG
RNAcentral lists this ribosomal RNA (497 nucleotides) under uncultured bacterium. Its description in RNAcentral is "partial 16S ribosomal RNA". It matches the Rfam family "Bacterial small subunit ribosomal RNA", at positions 28 to 507 of the family's 1533-position model. The record is from RNAcentral.